GGCAAAUGGCAGAGGCAGAAGGCAGUGGCGUGGGAAUGAAAACAAAGACUUUGGAGGGGUGGGGUCCAUGGAAGGACUUUCUUUGGCAUUUCGUGUCGCUUAACUGAGGAUUUUGGUCAAAGAAGGUGAGCCUCGUGGCAUUAUUACUUUAAUUUUAAUACAGCAACUUUGAUUGGGAAUCAGUUUGCUGUCCUUAAGUUUAAGUGAGUAAUAACCAAUAAGCUUUUAGCUUGUUACUAUUGAAAUCAUUUCUAAAAUUAUUGUUUAAGGAAUUUAAAUUUUAUUUUUAGUGUCAAUGAAAAUUAGAAUAAUUAUUAAAAUAAAUAAAACUUACUUCAAUUUUAAUAAAGUAACCCUUCAUAAAUUCCAGUACUUUUUGCUCUUAAAAAUUCUUCGCUCUACGCUUUCAAUCUAAUUUCAAAUUUCUUUCAAAGAAAAAAAAAGGUAAUUUUAAAAUUUAUUUAUUUGUGUGUAACUGAUGUUACUAAGGUUAAAUUAAUAAUAUAGCCGGAAUGAAAAUGUAUUGUGAUUAGUUAAAGUCUGUAAGGGAAAAAACGUGAAUGGUAGUGAGUGUCCAUAGCAACCACUUCGAUAUUCAAGUCAAUGUAUCGAUGAGAUAAAUGUAAUGAACUAUUAAGAGUUUUAGUGUUUUUUGAAUAGCUUACCUUUAUCUAUGUGAUUUUUCUCCUUUAUACUAUAAGAGGUAGAGAUGAAUAUGGUAAUUUUCUGAUAUUCUGGUGGUAAUGUGACUGUUUGCUUGAUAUGGGACAUUACUGACUAAUAGGUGGAAAUCUCACGAUCACAGGCGUAAUGUGUGUGAUAACGGUAACUUCGUGUCGAGACUCGCCUUGUUGGAGGAAGAGUGAGACUUCUGGAGAUGACCUGGGUGUUAAUGUGUCCGGAUCUUCAUUUCCUCGUGCUUGUCCAUGUUUUUCAUUUGUAAGAUACUUGCCACGUGGUCCUAUUCUAUGUUGACAACUCACGGCUUACUUUGGAUGAUUGUUAUGUAAUAUUAGAGGUUCCCCGGCUAGUCUUUGAUUCUUCAGAUUUGAAGGUGACACUUUGUCUUCUUGAUUAUGUGGCGCAAUUUGACUGUUUGUAUCUUUUGCCUUCCUUUGGUCACAGUGACGUCCUUAUUUUUUGGUCUAUAUUAAGGCUUUGCCGGCUUUACCUUUGUAUAAGAAUCCCCUUUCUCCUUUAUGUUUUGCUAUAUACCAUUUUUGGGAGACAUGAAAUGGGGCAUUUGCUUUCUUCUUCUUAAGGGUGACCAAACCUGUGUAGGGAACAUCAUCAUGAUCUAUGAAGUGCAAUUGAAGGUGAGUUUUUGUGAAGGUGUAAUCGUAUUACUUUGGGACCAUGGGUUGCAACCAGCCUGACUAUAAUGCCUUUCCAAUCCUAAAGUGAGGAUCAUGCAAGGUUGAUUCCGAGGGUAAGGCCAGAAAGGUAGUUGGAGAGGCAGUUCUUUGUAUGGCCUUCCAACCGGUGUCUUCCCAUAGAAUGAGACAGAGUUUCUGUUAAUAGAUUUUUUGAGGGUUCUGAUGUAAUAAAGACUUUACUUGGGUCCCUUCCUUUGUAAUUUUUUGUAAUGCAAAUGUUUAUUUUGCCUAUCUCAUUUGAUAAUA
RNAcentral lists this long non-coding RNA (1622 nucleotides) under Manihot esculenta (cassava). RNAcentral's name for it is "long non-coding RNA (MESC_LNC004989)". The record is from RNAcentral. Lineage: Eukaryota; Viridiplantae; Streptophyta; Magnoliopsida; Malpighiales; Euphorbiaceae.